Molecule: ribosomal RNA, 621 nt
Filed under: uncultured bacterium
Lineage: Bacteria
Description: bacterial SSU rRNA
Rfam family: Bacterial small subunit ribosomal RNA
Source: RNAcentral
AAAAACUCCGGUGGUAUGAGAUGGACCCGCGUCUGAUUAGCUAGUUGGUGAGGUAACGGCCCACCAAGGCGACGAUCAGUAGCCGGCCUGAGAGGGCGACCGGCCACAUUGGGACUGAGACACGGCCCAAACUCCUACGGGAGGCAGCAGUGGGGAAUAUUGCACAAUGGGGGAAACCCUGAUGCAGCGACGCCGCGUGAGUGAAGAAGUAUUUCGGUAUGUAAAGCUCUAUCAGCAGGGAAGAAGAAAGACGGUACCUGACUAAGAAGCCCCGGCUAACUACGUGCCAGCAGCCGCGGUAAUACGUAGGGGGCAAGCGUUAUCCGGAUUUACUGGGUGUAAAGGGAGCGUAGACGGCUGUGCAAGUCUGAAGUGAAAGCCCAGGGCUCAACCCUGGGACUGCUUUGGAAACUGUGGAGCUAGAGUGCUGGAGAGGUAAGUGGAAUUCCUAGUGUAGCGGUGAAAUGCGUAGAUAUUAGGAGGAACACCAGUGGCGAAGGCGGCUUACUGGACAGUAACUGACGUUGAGGCUCGAAAGCGUGGGGAGCAAACAGGAUUAGAUACCCUGGUAGUCCACGCGGUAAACGUUGAUAUCUAGGUGUUGGAGAGCAAAGCUUUUCG